This 257-nucleotide unclassified non-coding RNA is filed under the name Hevea brasiliensis (rubber tree). The record is from RNAcentral. Lineage: Eukaryota; Viridiplantae; Streptophyta; Magnoliopsida; Malpighiales; Euphorbiaceae.
GCGUUGAUUUGUUUCUAAAAUGUUGGAUGUUUUAGUUCUAUUCAGUCUGUUUUUGUACGAGUAGAAAACGAACAGAGAUAUUGCUGCUACAAGCAGGAAAUUAAGGAAUACUGAGCUACCCAAGAUACCGCUCCCACCAGAAUCAAAGUUGUUCUAUCUUUCUUCUCUACGUUUGAAUUCCCAACAGAAGGUUCAUCAGAAGGAGCAUCAGAUUUACUUACCUUGAUCAGAGCCUUGCCAUAGGUGUUAUAAUCCAG